AUGCUUAACACAUGCAAGUCGAACGUGCCUUCGGGCAAGUGGCAGACGGCUGAGUAACGCGUGAGUAACACACCCUUCGGUGGGGUAUAGCCUCGGGAAACUGAGGGUAAUCCCGCAUACGAUCCCUACGCCCUGGUGUAGGGAUGAAAGCCUUCGGGCGCCGGAGGAGUGGCUCGCGUCCUAUCAGGUAGUUGGUGAGGUAACGGCUCACCAAGCCGAUGACGGGUAGCUGGUCUUAGAGGACGAUCAGCCAGAGGGGGACUGAGACACGGCCCCCACUCCUACGGGAGGCAGCAGCAGGGAAUUUUGGGCAAUGGACGAAAGUCUGACCCAGCGACGUCGCGUGGGGGAUGAAGGCUCUAGGGCUGUAAACCCCUUUUCCGAGGGAAGAGGAAGGACGGUACCUCGGGAAUAAGCUCCGGCUAACUACGUGCCAGCAGCCGCGGUAAUACGUAGGGAGCGAGCGUUACCCGGAAUUACUGGGCGUAAAGAGCACGUAGGCGGUUGGAUAAGUCUUCUGUGAAAGCUCCUGGCUCAACUGGGAGAGGUCAGGGGAUACUAUUCGACUUGAGGGCUGUAGAGGUAAGCGGAAUUCCCGGUGUAGCGGUGAAAUGCGUAGAUAUCUGAAGGAACACCAGUGG
Molecule: ribosomal RNA, 641 nt
Filed under: uncultured bacterium
Lineage: Bacteria
Description: bacterial SSU rRNA
Rfam family: Bacterial small subunit ribosomal RNA
Source: RNAcentral